Molecule: ribosomal RNA, 939 nt
Filed under: uncultured bacterium
Lineage: Bacteria
Description: bacterial SSU rRNA
Rfam family: Bacterial small subunit ribosomal RNA
Source: RNAcentral
AAUACGAAGGGACCUAGCGUAGUUCGGAAUUACUGGGCUUAAAGAGUUCGUAGGUGGUUGAAAAAGUUGGUGGUGAAAUCCCAGAGCUUAACUCUGGAACUGCCAUCAAAACUUUUCAGCUAGAGUAUGAUAGAGGAAAGCAGAAUUUCUAGUGUAGAGGUGAAAUUCGUAGAUAUUAGAAAGAACACCAAAUGCGAAGGCAACUUACUGGGUCACUACUGACACUGAGGAGCGAAAGCAUGGGUAGCAAAGAGGAUUAGAUACCCUCGUAGUCCAUGCCGUAAACGAUGUGUGCUAGACGUUGGAAAUAUAUUUUUCAGUGUCGCAGCGAAAGCAUUAAGCACACCGCCUGGGGAGUACGACCGCAAGGUUAAAACUCAAAUGAAUUGACGGGGACCCGCACAAGCAGUGGAGCAUGUGGUUUAAUUCGAAGAUACGCGCAGAACCUUACCAACGCUUGACAUGUUCGUCGCGAGACUAAGAGAUUAGUCUUUUCAGUUAGGCUGGACGAAACACAGGUGCUGCAUGGCUGUCGUCAGCUCGUGUCGUAAGAUGUUGGGUUAAGUCCCGCAACGAGCGCAACCCCUACUUUUAGUUGCCACCAUUUAGUUGGGCACUUUAAAAGAACUGCCAGUGAUAAGCUGGAGGAAGGUGGGGAUGACGUCAAGUCCUCAUGGCCCUUAUGUGUUGGGCUACACACGUGCUACAAUGGCACUUACAAUGGGAUGCGAAGAGGUGACUCUUAGCUAAUCCCUAAAAUGUGUCUCAGUUCGGAUUGUACUCUGUAACUCGAGUGCAUGAAGCUGGAAUUGCUAGUAAUCGCGGAUCAGCGCGCCGCGGUGAAUACGUUCCCGGGUCUUGUACACACCGCCCGUCACACCAUGGAAGUUGGUUACACCUUAAGGCAAAGCUUAUACCUUUGACUACGGUACGAUCAGC